UAGCGAUGAAACAACUGGACUUAGAGAAGUUGCAUCAAAACCAAUUUCAGUAGUUUUAGUUACCUGCUUCGGCAGACGAGCACUAACUUACCAGCCCAUUCUAAAAGGCUGUCCUUGUAUAGGAGCAUGGAAAGAAGUUCAGUCCUUCACUAAAUUUAAAGUUUUAUUUAUAGAAAGUUGACCGCAUUAGUCAGUUAAUAUUUACAUUUAGGUAACACAAAUCAAAACAAACUAAAAAGCCACAAUUUUAAGGCAGGCAGGCAGGCAAAGAUAAAGACAAAAAAUAGUAAAAUUGUGAUUAUUUCACUCUGAUUUAGUCCAAAGUUUUAGAAUUUCUUAAUCAGAUUAGCAGGAAGAGUAGAUUUGUCCAAGUCAUCGAAGUAUGGGUGGUUCAAGGCCAUUUUGCCAGAAAUUCUUUUUGCAGGAUCAUAAAUUAACAUUUUAGACAACAGAUCGAGUCCAUCCUCAUCUAAGUUUUGGACAUGCGUUCCCAGGCUGCCAGGUUUCCAUUUUGGGAAAGUGUUUUUAUAGUCUUGCAAGGAUUCCACAUCAGGCCACACAUCAUUGUUGGGUGUCCCUAAAGCUCUGAAGAUUCUGAAGAGCUGGUCAAUCUCUGAGUCCCCGUGGAAAAGUGGCUUUUUAGUUGCUAACUCUGCAAAUAUGGUACCUAUGCUCCAUAUGUCUACAGGAGUGGAAUAACGAGCAGAUCCUAGCAGUACCUCUGGAGACCUGUACCACAGUGUCACUACUUCAUGAGUGUAUACCCGCACUGGGAUUCCAAAGGCUCGAGCCAAUCCAAAAUCUGCCAGUUUAAUCACCCCUUUGUCAUCUAUUAGAAGAUUCUGAGGUUUUAAGUCUCUGUGCAGAACUCGUCUUGAAUGGCAGAAGACGAUACCUUGCAAGAUCUGAUACAGGUAACUCUGCAGACAGGAAGAGGUGAGAGGAAGGGGGGGGAAAAAAAACAACACAUGAACUUCACUGAAGUCAGUGGUUCUACAACGUAAAGCUGUUUCCUUAUAUCAACUCUGCCCAUAGAAGUAGAUCCAAAGCAUUGCAAAAAUCGAGUUCAACCAAAAAUCCAUACAAAGUUGAGUGUCUGAGUUUAGUUCAAGGCAGUUAAUUUCAUAGUUGCAUUUGAGAGCGGAACUUUCUUUUAAAGAAAAGUUCAUCUUAUUAUUCACAGCUGCCUCUUCAGUCCUUCCUUCUUCCUCAAGGAAAUAUUGAGUUAAGAGCAAGAGAUAAGACUUGCUUAUAGCUUUGUAGGGCACCUUUAAUUUUUAAGUUACACAAAGAAAUUAUCCUCAUUACCUUAACACGCGAACGAUCCAAAUAUUGGCCAGAUGGAAUAGUAUCCAAGUAUUUCUUGAGGUCCAUGGAAAGGAAUUCAAAAAUGAGGUACAGCCUUGCAUCCUGCAUAAGAACAUCCUGAAGACUGAAAAUUGAGGAUACAGUCAACUGCACUGCAAAAAGCACAGAUCCACUCGUUUGCUUCCCCUCUCAACAUGGAGGCAAGCUGAUGUUUCUUAGGUACCUAAUAAGAAAGGCUUACAAAGCUUUCUCUCAGUCUUCAAAGAUUAACAGCCUUAGCAAGUUGCACUGUUGUUUGGAAAACUGAGCAUAUAUGAGACAGUGCCC
RNAcentral lists this long non-coding RNA (1635 nucleotides) under Gallus gallus (chicken). Lineage: Eukaryota; Metazoa; Chordata; Aves; Galliformes; Phasianidae. The record is from RNAcentral.